Molecule: ribosomal RNA, 1422 nt
Filed under: human gut metagenome
Description: bacterial LSU rRNA
Rfam family: Bacterial large subunit ribosomal RNA
Source: RNAcentral
CUAAAUACUACCCAGUGACCGAUAGCGUAUAGUACUGUGAAGGAAAGGUGAAAAGCACCCCGGGAGGGGAGUGAAAAAGAACCUGAAACCCUGUGCCUACAAGCACCUAGAGCGCGUCAAUGCGUGAUAGGGUACUUUUUGUAGAACGGUCCGGCGAGCGAUUGUAUGCAGCAAGGUUAAGGACUUAAGGUCUGGAGCCGAAGCGAAAGCGAGUUUGAAAAGGGCGUUAAGUUGCAUAUAAUGGGCCCGAAACCGGGUGACCUACCCAUGGUCAGGUUGAAGUGGAAGUAAAAUUCCAUGGAGGACCGAACCGACCUCCGUUGAAAAGGCGGCGGAUGAACUGUGGGUAGCGGAGAAAUUCCAAUCGAACCCGGAGAUAGCUGGUUCUCCCCGAAAUAGUUUUAGGACUAGCCUCAAGUUAGAUACCUGGAGGUAAAGCACUGAAUAGCCUAGCGGCCGAGAGGUUAGCGAAGCUUAUCAAACUCAGAAUGCCAGAGUAUUGAUGCUUGGGAGUCAGACAGUGUCAGAUAAAUGUCAUUGUCAAAAGGGAAACAGCCCAGAUCUACAGCUAAGGUCCCAAAGUCAGGUUAAGUGGAAAACGAUGUGAAGAUACGUAGACAACCAGGAUGUUGGCUCAGAAGCAGCCACUCAUUCAAAGAGUGCGUAAUAGCUCACUGGUCGAGCGUCUUUGCGCGGAGAAUUUAACGGGGCUAAACCUGACACCGAAGCUUAGGCAGCAUGUUUACAUGCUGGGUAGGGGAGCGUUGUAUACGCGGUGAAACAGUAGCGCAAGCGGCUGUGGAGUGUAUAGAAGUGAGAAUGCCGGAAUGAGUAGCGCGAAUGCAGUGAGAAUCUGCAUGGCCGAAAGCCUCAGGUUUCUGGAGGAAGGUUCGUCCGCUCCAGGUCAGUCGGGAGCUAAGGUGAGGCCUAACGGCGUAGCCGAUGCACAGACGGUAGAGAUUCCGUCACCACCAAAAGAGUUAAACACAGGGACACAUAUGAAGUCUCGGAGCCGGGUGUUGGUUCCGGUAGCGAUCGAGGGAAGUUAGUACCGAAGUCUGAGAUGGAAGAUGGCGAGAAAAGCUGUGUGUAUUUCUGCGGUGCCCGUACCGCAAACCGACACAGGUAGGUAGGAAGAAGAUUCUAAGGCCAACGGGAGAAGGGUUGUUAAGGAACUCGGCAAAUUGACCCCGUAACUUCGGGAGAAGGGGUGCUGCAGCAAUGCAGCCGCAGAGAAUCGGCCCAAGCAACUGUUUACCAAAAACACAGGUUUGUGCUAAAUCGAAAGAUGACGUAUACGAGCUGACGCCUGCCCGGUGCUGGAAGGUUAAGAGGAGAUGUGCAAGCAUUGAAUCGAAGCCCCAGUGAACGGCGGCCGUAACUAUAACGGUCCUAAGGUAGCGAAAUUCCUUGUCAGGUAAG